GGCUCGAGUGGCGAACGGGUGAGUAACACGUGAGUAACCUGCCCUUGACUUUGGGAUAACUUCAGGAAACUGGGGCUAAUACCGGAUAGGAGCUCCUGCUGCAUGGUGGGGGUUGGAAAGUUUCGGCGGUUGGGGAUGGACUCGCGGCUUAUCAGCUUGUCGGUGGGGUAGUGGCUUACCAAGGCUUUGACGGGUAGCCGGCCUGAGAGGGUGACCGGCCACAUUGGGACUGAGAUACGGCCCAG
RNAcentral lists this ribosomal RNA (245 nucleotides) under uncultured Actinomycetales bacterium. Its description in RNAcentral is "partial 16S ribosomal RNA". It matches the Rfam family "Bacterial small subunit ribosomal RNA", at positions 88 to 334 of the family's 1533-position model. The record is from RNAcentral. Lineage: Bacteria; Bacillati; Actinomycetota; Actinomycetes; Actinomycetales.